This is a long non-coding RNA of Tripterygium wilfordii, 2978 nucleotides long. RefSeq lists it as uncharacterized. NCBI's taxonomy places the organism in Eukaryota, Viridiplantae, Streptophyta, Magnoliopsida, Celastrales, Celastraceae. The transcript has 5 exons. The record is from RefSeq and is a predicted model, not a curated record.
GAGAGCACCGGAAAAUAAAAUGCAGAGAUUCCGCAGUCCCGCGCAACUGCAGCUUUCCCAAGGCGAUUUGUUUCCACAGGUGAAUGAAUAAUUGGAACAAAUAUUAGAAUAUCUCUCUCCAAUAAUAAAUAUCUCAUGCCCCUUACGUAAAACUAAAGGUGUUGAAGGAAGCCUUUACGCUUUAUGCAGCAAGCUGGAUACGGGACAUAGGUCCCGAUCUUCGGCCAAGCGAUUAUAAGAAGGAUGAUGGGAGCCAAAAUAUACUUGAUGGAGCAGAAAGUGCUACUAAAGAGAAAGAACAUUCAGUGCUGGAAUCUCUUGGUUGAAAAGCUAUAUCCUGUGCUUUUUGUUGGCUAUUAGUGAACCCAGAUUUUUCAGUAAAUGGUUUCAAGACAUGAGCUGUAGCCGCAAAAUGAGGUAUGGAAAAAAUUAAGGCCUGCUUUGCAGCGAGGUUACAUGACAAGAGCUUCUGCAUAUAGAGAUGCUCUCAAGAAUUUAAUCGAAGGAUAUUAAGGAGUCCGGCAGGUCAUGGAGAAGAAGGAAGAUGCAAAAAAUCAUGAAGGAGGCAAUGCAUCAAAAAAAUCAACUUGACUACCUAGUAUUCUAUGGCGGAAUGAUGUGUAUCCAUGUGUCUGGAAGACUGUAGGCUCAUCGGAUGUACCAUCAGCUUUAUUUGAGAGAAUGACCAGCAUGAUCGAUCAAAGCUGAGGGUUUAACUGUACUUUGAACUGACAUCCGAGAUAUGUACUUGAUGAUCCUUUGUAAAUAUAAUGUUAUUCCCCACUACCCAUUUCUAGUGCUGUGGAGUGUUCUUUCCCCACUAUCUAUUUCAUGAUUCGAGUUUACUACAUCAUUGGGUUUUGGUCUUUCUUUAUAUUAAUUACUUUUAAUAUCUGUUUAUUUCCAUCAAAACUGAGUUGUGUUUCAUGUAGAUAGAUAAUAAAAAAAAAAAUGUAAUAAUUUUGAUAUAACUGCUGUGUCUAUGAUGUUUGUUGUUUUGAAUGCCUGAUAGGUGCUACCAGCAGCUCAAUAGUGUGAGUUCGUUUGUAAUAUGUAUUAUGUUGUGUUAUGGGACAGAAGCAAGAGGUUUCUGGAUGGAUCCAAAUUUAGAUCAACUGUCAGUGGUGCUUAUGCAAGUCUUUGACAUAUACUUUGAAUGGGGAAAAGCAGCACAUACUCAUGGAGUUGCAGAAGCCCAAGAAGUUGAUGAAAUGUUGUCAUCAUGAAUGGAAAUUCGGUGGUCCUGCAAAAUCUUUAUACCAUUUUAGUUGCAAGUGAAAGUAAAAGUGAUGUUGACCCACAAGCAAAAGGCCUGAUGAGAGGAAAGUGAAGUGGGAUAAAGAAAAACUCACAAGGUCUUUCUACAUUUUCUACUAUUCUUAGUCGUUGCAUGAUUAGAUAAUCCUUGCAGCACAAACCCAUAACAGCGGAGGCCAUUUGUUCUCUCCAUUAAUUGGCCACUUCUUGACGGGCAACUAUAACAAACACAUCUGGGGGCCCUCCCACUUGCAGAGCCACUAAACAUUGGAUUCUAUCACGAGCGAAGGUCAAAGGGUUAUCUUCCAUGUCUCGAUCUUUAUGGGCCCUGAUAAUCACUUGACACUGUAUUUGAUUAUUUGCUCAGGUGAUGUACACAUCUUUGUUUCUAAAUUUACCUACCUGUACUGUUGAAUUUCAUUAAUUCACUUUUAAGUUGUUCUUUAGAUUGGGUGGGUGUAGAAUAAAAUCCUGUAGGCAGCAGUGCACUCUUGUAUGUUUAUUUUCUCAGCAAAGAUCAUUGAAAGUUGUGGAGGAAGUAUAUGUUGCUGAAAGCCUGAAACAUGAUAGUUUACAGUUUGAAGUUGAGGGGCAUGAUACAGCCUAAAAAUGCUUCUUCCACCUAUUAUUUUUAGUCUAUUAGAUUAGCAUCUUGGUAUUAUAUGAAUGCAAUCAGUUCAUCUUGCAACUGCCUUUUCACGGAUUUGCUGGCACAGUUAACGACGUAGGAAAGAUUGCACACUUUUGACUAAGUAGUAGUUCCUGACUAGAUGCCUGCUUGUUUGAAAUUAGGAUUUUGAAUUUAGAGAGCUUGAAGUGAAAGUCUACCUUGACUGUUGGUAGUCUCUUUUGCAAAAUAAAGUGGAACUUUUGAGAGGUAUAUUUAGGUUGGAGCAACAUGAAUUAGUUGGUGUAGGUUGAAGUGGAAUGCACUAUAUCUUUCAUGCAUGCGUGAUGUUAUGAGGGCAUGUAUAGGUGCGAGGAUCCUCUCAUGGGGAUUUUGAUGUUGGGUUUUCUCUUGUUGCCAAAGACACCAGAGCCAGUCAAAUGCCACUGGAACCUUUGUGGCAGAGAUAACUUUUAGUCAAAUAGAUUCACAUGCCAAAUGGUGAUAAAGAACGUUUUCAGGCGAGCAUACCAUGUAAUGCAAUUUUAAGGUCAUCAUAAUAAUGUCUGUUGCUGAUUUUUCUUGACUUUCAGUUGUCUGAUUUUAUAUGCUUUAAUGUGCAGGUGCCUAAGACAAUGAAGAUCCCUAUGAACCCCAUCAUCAUCAUCAACAAAAUAAGUCUUUUUUUCUAUUUGGUUGACAAUUAAAAUUACAAAGUAGAUUAACUGAAGCUUCAAGCUGCUUUUUCCUUUCACUGCAGGGGAAAGUGGAGCAUCAAAAUCAGAUUGGCUACAUAUGGACAAAGGUUAUUAGGUAAAUGUGGAGUGGAGUGGAGGGAGGAGUGGGCUAAUACUACUACUACUACUACUACUACUACUCUUUGGGCUGUCAUACAUAUAUCAUCCAUCUAUUCAACAGUACACCAACUCCCCCACCACCACUACAAAAGAACCAUUAUUAUGGAAAAUCUUCAGGGAGAGGAGAAUCUCAACAGGGGCAGCAAAUAGAUUCCUUUCAGAAAAUUUUCCAACAUCUUAAAAGUCUCAUGUGCUGACGUCACUUGGGUCCCACUUUCCAUCCCUUUCCUUCUGUGCUCUCUAUACCUUCCCACUUC